This 403-nucleotide ribosomal RNA is filed under the name uncultured bacterium. RNAcentral describes it as "partial 16S ribosomal RNA". It matches the Rfam family "Bacterial small subunit ribosomal RNA", at positions 28 to 526 of the family's 1533-position model. The record is from RNAcentral.
GACGAACGCUGGCGGCGUGCCUAAUACAUGCAAGUCGAACGCAGUGGGGACGGGUGAGUAACACGUGGGUAACCUCCCAUCAGAGGGGAUAAAACUUGGAAACAGGUGCUAAACCGAUACUGAUGGAUGAACCCGCGGUGCAUUAGCUAGUUGGUGAGGUAACGGCAUACCAAGGCCACGAUGCAUAGCCGAGCUGGGUGGGUACUCGGCCACACAGGGACUGAGACACGGCGCAGAUUCUGACGGGAGGCAGCAGUAGGGAAUCUUCGGCAAUGGACGAAAGUCUGGCCGAGGAACGCCGCGGGAGUGAAGUAGGUUUUCGGAUUGUAAAACUCUGUUGUUAGAGAAGCGGUAUCUAACAAGAAAGCCACGGCUAACUACGUGGCAGCAGGCGGGGUAAUAC